UACGUAGGGUGCAAGCGUUGUCCGGAAUCACUGGGCGUAAAGGGCGCGUAGGCGGCUCAUGAAGGCUGUGGUGAAAGUCCGGGGCUCAACCUCGGAUCGGCCGUGGCGACUCGUGGGCUGGAGCACUGUAGAGGCGGGUGGAAUUCCGGGUGUAGCGGUGGAAUGCGUAGAGAUCCGGAAGAACACCAGUGGCGAAGGCGACUCACUGGACACGUAUUGACGCUGAGGUGCGAAAGCGUGGGGAGCAAACAGG
This 253-nucleotide ribosomal RNA is filed under the name uncultured bacterium. RNAcentral describes it as "partial 16S ribosomal RNA". It matches the Rfam family "Bacterial small subunit ribosomal RNA", at positions 524 to 776 of the family's 1533-position model. The record is from RNAcentral.